This 465-nucleotide ribosomal RNA is filed under the name uncultured bacterium. Its description in RNAcentral is "partial 16S ribosomal RNA". It matches the Rfam family "Bacterial small subunit ribosomal RNA", at positions 28 to 507 of the family's 1533-position model. The record is from RNAcentral.
GACGAACGCUGGCGGCGUGCUUAACACAUGCAGGUCGUACGGUAAGGCCCUUUCGGGGGUCCACGAGUGGCGAACGGGUGAGUAACACGUGAGUAACCUGCCCACAACUUUGGGAUAACGCUAGGAAACUGGUGCUAAUACUGGAUAUGUUCUCCUGCUGCAUGGUGGGGGUUGGAAAGCUCCGGCGGUUGUGGAUGGACUCGCGGCCUAUCAGCUUGUUGGUGGGGUAGUGGCCUACCAAGGCGGCGACGGGUAGCCGGCCUGAGAGGGUGACCGGCCACAUUGGGACUGAGAUACGGCCCAGACUCCUACGGGAGGCAGCAGUGGGGAAUAUUGCACAAUGGGCGCAAGCCUGAUGCAGCAACGCCGCGUGCGGGAUGACGGCCUUCGGGUUGUAAACCGCUUUCAGCAGGGACGAAGCUUUUUGUGACGGUACCUGCAGAAGAAGCACCGGCUAACUACGUG